GAGGAAUAUUGGUCAAUGGACGCAAGUCUGAACCAGCCACGUCGCGUGAAGGAAGACGGCCCUACGGGUUGUAAACUUCUUUUGUAAGGGAAUAAAGUGUAGUACGCGUACUAUUUUGCAUGUACCUUACGAAUAAGGAUCGGCUAACUCCGUGCCAGCAGCCGCGGUAAUACGGAGGAUCCGAGCGUUAUCCGGAUUUAUUGGGUUUAAAGGGUGCGCAGGCGGGAGAUUAAGUCGGCGGUGAAAUUUUGCAGCUCAACUGUAAAAGUGCCUUCGAAACUGGUUUUCUUGAGUGUAGAUGAAGUAGGCGGAAUUUGUGGUGUAGCGGUGAAAUGCAUAGAUAUCACGAGGAACUCCGAUUGCGCAGGCAGCUUACUAAGCUACAACUGACGCUCAUGCACGAAGGCGUGGGGAUCAAAC
This 420-nucleotide ribosomal RNA is filed under the name uncultured bacterium. RNAcentral's name for it is "bacterial SSU rRNA". It matches the Rfam family "Bacterial small subunit ribosomal RNA", at positions 356 to 773 of the family's 1533-position model. The record is from RNAcentral.